UUGGCUGGAGCUCACCAUGGCAACCGCCAGCAUCCUUGGGGAGUCUGGACCACAUAAUGGAGGCUCUGCUCAACAUCCCUGGAAAGUGGCUGGAUUGGAUGGCAGCACUGGGGGCAUCGCAGGGCCUCCCUCGCCUGGGCUCCUCAGGAGGGAGAGACCCUCCCCUUUAAGGCAACUGAAGUAUUCAUUUAUUUUCAUUUUUUAUUACAUAGGCUUUUAUACCACCUUUAUUAUUUCUCUAAAUAGCCCAAGGCAGUGAACCUAUCUAAGAUUCCUUCAUCCCACAAAAACAACCUUGUGAAGGCUGAGAGAGAGACUGGUUGCAGGUCACCCACCUGUCUUUCGUGGCUGAGAUGGGACUCAUUAAGGUGACAAUGAAAAGGAAGUAGUCAAUAGAAGCCUACAGCUGAAAGGGACCUUGUGAGCAACAAGGAAGAAAUGGUCAAUAUCCUUGGGCGAUCUCUCAGUGACCACUGAUGGUCCCAACCUCCAGGUUGAUGAACUGAGAGACUCCUUUGACUUUCAGUCCCAGAAAUUCCAGAAAGAAAAUCAAUGGAUGAAAGAUCAGCACAGCUGUCUCCAGGAGAAAGUGGAUUAACUUAAGACCACAACAGAAGACCUGCAGAAAACCUGCAGAAGAUCAUGUCAUCAGUUAGAGCUAGAGAACACAUCUUUGAUGAAAUACAUUGAAGAACUCCACAAAGAACUAGCCAAUUGUCCAUCUCAGCCGAGAGAAGGUGACUCUGAGAAAGACCUCGAAGAGGUGAGGAACCUUCCGCCAGAAGGUAAGAAAUUCCUCCAGAGUCUACAGCAUGAACUGGCUGAGAUGGACCACAAUUACCAUGUGGAGAAAAGCCAUUACAGCCAACUGAGAAAGUCGGACUAUGAGAGAAAACAAGCAGAAGCACAGUCUGCAGCAGCCACAUCAGACCUCCCAGAUCCGGCUCUGGCCAGACUCACCUGGCACACUAGGUAUCAAGCCCCCCCGCUUCUUCUCCCAGGUACACCAGAUGAGAAACAUGAUGUAACUCUACUUUAUUGGAAGGGCACAUAAGAGAACCUUGCAUGUCUGAAAGUACAAAUCUCCCACCAAAGCUUUUGAAAGCCUGAAAAAUGAGGGAGGGUCCUUUCUGAGGUUCUUUCUCUGCCAAUUAUGCACCUGGGAGCUCCCUCCCCCCUUAUCUGAUCAUUCCCUGUGCAGCAUCUUCUCCAUCUAUUCUUCUAUAUUGUCAUUAAUACAGGCGGGAUAGUUGAAGAAAUAGGAUUUUUUCAGGAUGCAACAUUUAUAUCGACUCUUAGACAAAGCUACUUUGAUGUUGUUUUAAAAAUACCACCCAGUUUUUAGAACAAUAUCUAUGAUUUCCUAAUAGAGUGCAUAAGUAAAAUCCAGUAGAAAAAUAAAUAAUUUUAGCAGGAGGACUUAACAAGCUCUCCUAUUUUAUAUAAGAACAAACGAAUGGCAGCUACAAUGUGAAUCUUUCAUUAAGAUUUCAUUUGUACUUUUUCUCAUAUCAUUUCUUUUUUUCAAAUCUAUUUUUCAUUUCAUUCAAAACCUCCAAAAAAUGGGGGGGGGAAUGACAGACAAGCCCCCAAAGCUAAAUAAAACUAGAUUAAAAAGUGCAUAAAAAGAUAAAAGGGGAGAAAAGAACCAGUUCAGAUGAGGAAACCAGGAACAGGGAAAAAACCCCUGCUGAGUCUGGCUGCCAUCUUGGGGGGAGUCGGAAAAACACUUUCCUUCCAGUGGUUCAGCAGCUGCCACCCCUGGAUGCUCAGCCAGCAGUCCUGAGUCCUGCAGGUCAUUUUCCACCAGAUGUCCAGGAAUUUGAACCCCUGGCAUGGUCCUUCCUGACCUGGGCAACUGGAGAGCCCACCUGGUUUCUGUCAUGUGUGUUUUUCCCUAUUGUUUAUGGGAGAGGCAUUCUUUGUCCAGUUCCUCUCAUGAGUCCUCUCCAGUAUGGUUGAACCUCAGGUGUAGCCCUCAUCUUCCUCUGAGCACACAAGCCCCACAACCACGUCAAGGUCCUGCCUCACAGGGGGAUUGUGGUUCUUCACACCGUCAGCCAGAUUGGAUGUCAGCUCUUCCAAGGAAAGCGGCCUUUGGCAAUUGACCAAUGGUGAGGUUGUCAAUGCCAUGGGUGUCGAAAUGGGGCUCCAAUUGUUUUGGGAUUUCACUGAUGGCAGUUAUUCAUCAUGGGGCAAAAAAAGCACCAAUUUAAUAUUUUAAUAAUAAAAUAAUAAAUAAGCAAGAAGCAAUAAAUAAAUAAAACUUAGCAACCUAGUUAGUAUUUAAAAGUACCAGGCUCCCACUCUUCUUUCUUUUUAGCUUCCAAGGCCAGCCAUCCCCACCCAAAAAUCCAAAGCAGGAAAUGCAGCGCAACCAAGGACACCAGGUGACCUCAAGAGACCCCAAAUCCUCUCCCUUCAGCUAGGACUCUUCUUGUGGACAAGUCCUUGGUCCACUCACUUCUUCCCGCCUCCAAGUUGUCCACUGACUGCAGUCACCUGGGUUUUUCCGUCUCUUGAAUGGAAUCCAUCCAAGAAUUAAAUAACAAUAAUAUCAUCAUAAUGGAAAAAACCUGAUAACCAAAUUAGUUCAAACACUUUCCAACCAUCAUAUUGUUGAGCAAGGUAGAACGUCUGACAUCCUUCUUCGUUCAUCAAUGAUGGUGAUGUUGGGGUUGAUGGGUUCCGGUAUGUAGGGUUCCACUGUGAUGGAGGCCGACUCAACAUCCUUAGUUGGUUGCUCUGGUGACACUUGCAAACACCUUUUUAUGGGAAUUGAAGAAAAAAACAAUAAUUCCCACAUCACCAUAAUUGAUGAAAGACGAUGUCAGAUAUUCAGCCCUGGUCAACAAUGCGAUGGUUGGCAUCUCUUCCAUCUUGUGCAAGGUAGAACGUCUGACAUCCUCCUUCGUUCAUCAAUGAUGGUGAGGUUGGGGUUGAUGGGUUCCGGUAUGUAGGGUUCUACCGUGAUGAUGGCGGCCUCCACAUCUUCACUUCAUUGCUCUGGUGACACUUGCAGACACCUUUUCCUGGGGAUUGAAGAAGAAAAAAAGAAUAAAAUAUCACUGACUGGUACAUUCUUUUCUUAACAAGGAUAAUAAACCUAUUCUUAAUGGGAGCCCCAUUAGUGGAGAUUUUCAAGGAAAGGUUGGGGGUUGGACUAGAAGACCUCCAAGGUCCCUUCCACCCCUGAGGGACUCUAUCCUUUCUCCUGUUAGUCCCACCAACAUUUUGGGAGGCUUUCAGUGCCCCAGGGCUCCCCAGGUUGUGGUGAGGCCACUCCCCUGAUCAGGAGCAACUUACCUGCACUGGUGGAAGAAAACGCAGAGGCCAACCAAUGCAUAGACCCCAAGGACAAACAAGGUCACUUUCCAUGGUCUCUAAGGACGUUCUGGGGUCUGUCAAGGGAUGGUCACAGCAGCUCAUUUGGGUCCAUCUCUCUGUCUCUCUGAUCCACCCAAGCUUUUAUAGCCUGCAUGGCCCCACCCAACAACGGAAAAGAGUUCAACAAAAUCCAGCAGGUGUGAGAUUCAAAUAAUUUAACAACCGGCUCUGUGCCCUCGUGACCAUUUUAAGUAUAAAAAAAUGGAUAUUAAGUCUUAUUUUGGGGGGAUGUCUUACUUUACAGCAGGUGGGGGGAGGGAGGCUGCACAGAAUUCAGCACCUGGCGCCCAGAUUGCUUCUGUUUCUGUCCAUUUGACUCGUAUGAUGGACAGUAGAAAUCUUAUGAUCUGUGUGAAGGUUAUAGAGAACAGCAGACUUAACAGUAUCUGAAUGAGGAUGGUGUAUAUUUUAUACAGUUUGUCCUGAGAGCAUCAACCAGGCAGGGCAACUGUGCAGUGUUGAAAAACGAAUAAAAGUAGUAAAAACAGUAAAA
Pantherophis guttatus is the source of this 3880-nucleotide long non-coding RNA. RefSeq lists it as uncharacterized. The record is from RefSeq and is a predicted model, not a curated record. Lineage: Eukaryota; Metazoa; Chordata; Lepidosauria; Squamata; Colubridae.